AGACGUCUACAUUAGAUACCCGCGUAGUCCCAGCCGUAAACUAUGCGCGUUAGGUGUAUCGGUGACCACGAGUUACCGAGGUGCCGAAGGGAAACCGUGAAACGUGCCGCCUGGGAAGUACGGUCGCAAGGCUGAAACUUAAGGAAUUGCGGGGAGCACCACAACAGGUGGAGCCUGCGGUUUAAUUGGACUCAACGCCGGGAAGCUCACCGGAUAGGACAGCAGAAUGAUUGCCGGGCUGAAGACCCUGCAUGACUAGCUG
Molecule: ribosomal RNA, 262 nt
Filed under: uncultured archaeon
Lineage: Archaea
Description: partial 16S ribosomal RNA
Rfam family: Archaeal small subunit ribosomal RNA
Source: RNAcentral